RNAcentral lists this unclassified non-coding RNA (396 nucleotides) under Hevea brasiliensis (rubber tree). The record is from RNAcentral. Lineage: Eukaryota; Viridiplantae; Streptophyta; Magnoliopsida; Malpighiales; Euphorbiaceae.
GUUUCAUUUGGCUUUCACCUGUAAAACUAAAAAGCAAAAUUUACUUCAAAUGGAAAUGGUUGCAUAUUUCAUUUUCAUUAACAAAAAUUGGCCUUAAUAGUUAAUUUCCUUUCUAUUAAUAUUCCAGAUAACAUCCUGUGGUACUGUCAGGGAGCCAAUAUACCUAAAACAAUAAAAGUUUGGACUUGCUGUUCUAAUUGACAACCAAUAUCGAUUUUACCUUCCUUUUGUUAAGAGCCCUACUUAGCAGAGCGAUAGGGUAUGAGUCGCAUAUGCUUGGUCACUUCCAAUUCCAACUCCUAAGAGAAGAUUGAUUUCAAUGCAAAAAUUGCAACAAAAGAACUUAGAGAAAUAUAUUUAUCAUAACCAAACGUCAAGAAAGAUAUCCUUUUACAU